Ornithorhynchus anatinus (platypus) is the source of this 663-nucleotide long non-coding RNA. RefSeq lists it as uncharacterized. The record is from RefSeq and is a predicted model, not a curated record. NCBI's taxonomy places the organism in Eukaryota, Metazoa, Chordata, Mammalia, Monotremata, Ornithorhynchidae. The transcript is spliced from 2 exons.
GAAAGCACUUCCCCCUCUCUAUUGCACUGACCUUUAAGGGUAGCGCUCCGUGCCCCGGGGCAGGUCUCUUUAUAUGGGAGUGAAGGAAAACCCCCUCAGACUUGGAGGUUCACACUUGAGAGACCUGGACAGUGAACAAAGGCCAGCGUAAGGCAGUUGUUUUAGCUGCCGGAAAAGAUCUCCCAGCGUUCGUGAUGCUUCUACAUGGAAUGGAAGAGCGGGAAUUUAGCACACCAGAGAGAGACGAGAGCCAGUUUGAGAUCUUAGCAAGGAACAGGUUUCGGUUCAAUGGGGAUAGGCCCAUCCUCCUUGCCUCCAAGUCAGCUGUGAGGUCACGUGUCCUCCCAAGACCAUUCUGUCUUGGGGAUCAGAGUCUCCUAGGCCUGACUCAGCCUGGACCCUUGCCCCCGGAGAUUGUCAUUGGCCAGAAAACAGCUUCCGCGGUGGAGGGGGUCGUCUUCCGGGGACCGGGAUUCAUCCGAUUCCUUUGACUCAGUGACAGAUGCUAUGGACUGAGAUCCAGUGGGGAAACCGAUAAGAGAAACAGGGUUAAAAAUAAGGUGGGAGGGGCUUGGAAGAGCUAGAGUCCCUGGUCUGACCUUUACCCUCCAAAUAUCUGACUGGCAGCCCCAGACAUGAAAUAAAAUCAGGCCAUUCCGAGUA